CUGAGUUUACAACUCACCAACCCUUGUGAACAUACCUUAUACUGUUGCCUUCGGCGGUAGCGUCCCUAGGACGUCCCCGGCCCUCCCGUCAACGGUGGGACGGCCCGCCCGGAGGAUACCCUAAACUCUGAUUUUACGUGGAACUUUCUGAGUAACACAAACAAAUAAUCA
Molecule: unclassified non-coding RNA, 171 nt
Filed under: soil metagenome
Description: partial internal transcribed spacer 1
Source: RNAcentral